UGCGUAGGCGGCUGAUUAAGUCGGAUGUGAAAUCCCUGAGCUUAACUUAGGAAUUGCAUUCGAUACUGGUCAGCUAGAGUAUGGGAGAGGGUGGUGGAAUUUCCUGUGUAGCGGUGAAAUGCGUAGAUAUAGGAAGGAACACCAGUGGCGAAGGCGACCACCUGGACUGAUACUGACACUGAGGUGCGAAAGCGUGGGGAGCAAACA
RNAcentral lists this ribosomal RNA (207 nucleotides) under uncultured bacterium. RNAcentral describes it as "partial 16S ribosomal RNA". It matches the Rfam family "Bacterial small subunit ribosomal RNA", at positions 568 to 774 of the family's 1533-position model. The record is from RNAcentral.